Molecule: transfer RNA, 73 nt
Filed under: Stegodyphus mimosarum
Lineage: Eukaryota; Metazoa; Arthropoda; Arachnida; Araneae; Eresidae
Description: tRNA-Thr for anticodon CGU
Rfam family: tRNA
About the family: Transfer RNA (tRNA) molecules are approximately 80 nucleotides in length.
Source: Rfam by way of RNAcentral
GCCUUCUUGGUAUAGUGGUCAGUACACUCGACGCGUAACCGAGAGGUCCCUGGUUCGAUUCCGGGUGAAGGCG